GGGAGGUUUGGGUAACUCCCUUCUCUCCUCUCGACCUUGCUGGGCGGCCAUGAUCCUUUCCAGCAUCUUAAAUAUUCUGUCCAUAUCUUCCCGAAGCGAAUCAUCCCGGGCUACUUGGUUUCGUGGGGGUCUUCCUCUCCUCAUUUCUCUGCACCUGCAUUUCACAAGGAAGAGUUGAGUAACGAUUUAUCGGUGGGUAUAUCUCUAAGCAUUAUUGUGUAAGGGAUGAGUCUGAGGAACGUGGAUCUGAUACAAAUAGUAACGGCCCUAGAAAUAAAAAAUUCUAAUUAACAUCUCUUACACAAUAACCCAAAAACGUAU
This 321-nucleotide long non-coding RNA is filed under the name Carica papaya (papaya). RNAcentral's name for it is "long non-coding RNA (CPAP_LNC002457)". The record is from RNAcentral. Lineage: Eukaryota; Viridiplantae; Streptophyta; Magnoliopsida; Brassicales; Caricaceae.